This 334-nucleotide ribosomal RNA is filed under the name uncultured bacterium. Its description in RNAcentral is "bacterial SSU rRNA". It matches the Rfam family "Bacterial small subunit ribosomal RNA", at positions 18 to 344 of the family's 1533-position model. The record is from RNAcentral.
CAUGGCUCAGGACGAACGCUGGCGGCGUGCCUAAUACAUGCAAGUAGAACGAUGAAGGAGGAGCUUGCUUCUCCGGAUGAGUUGCGGACGGGUGAGUAACGCGUAGGUAACCUACCUGGUAGCGGGGGAUAAAUAUUGAAAACGAUAGCUAAUACCGCAUAACAGUAGAUGUUGCAUGAUAUCUGCUUGAAAGGUGCAAUUGCAUCACUUCCAGAUGGACCUGCGUUGUAUUAGCUAGUUGGUGAGGUAACGGCUCACCAAGGCGACGAUACAUAGCCGACCUGAGAGGGUGAUCGGCCACACUGGGACUGAGACACGGCCCAGACUCCUACGG